UGGGGAAUAUUGCACAAUGGGCGCAAGCCUGAUGCAGCCAUGCCGCGUGUAUGAAGAAGGCCUUCGGGUUGUAAAGUACUUUCAGCGGGGAGGAAGGGAGUAAAGUUAAUACCUUUACUCAUUGACGUUACCCGCAGAAGAAGCACCGGCUAACUCCGUGCCAGCAGCCGCGGUAAUACGGAGGGUGCAAGCGUUAAUCGGAAUUACUGGGCGUAAAGCGCACGCAGGCGGUUUGUUAAGUCAGAUGUGAAAUCCCCGGGCUCAAGCCUGGGAACUGGCAUCUGAUACUGGCAAGCUUGAGUCUCGUAGAGGGGGUUAGAAUUCCAGGUGGUAGCGGUGAAAUGCGUAGAUAUUAGGAGGAACACCAGUGGCGAAGGCGGCUUACUGGACGGUAACUGACGUUGAGGCUCGAAAGCGUGGGGGAGCAAACAGGAUUAGAUACC
RNAcentral lists this ribosomal RNA (443 nucleotides) under uncultured bacterium. RNAcentral's name for it is "bacterial SSU rRNA". It matches the Rfam family "Bacterial small subunit ribosomal RNA", at positions 355 to 786 of the family's 1533-position model. The record is from RNAcentral.